ACGCUGGCGGCAGGCCUAACACAUGCAAGUCGAGCGGUAGAGAGAAGCUUGCUUCUCUUGAGAGCGGCGGACGGGUGAGUAAUGCCUAGGAAUCUGCCUGGUAGUGGGGGAUAACGUUCGGAAACGGACGCUAAUACCGCAUACGUCCUACGGGAGAAAGCAGGGGACCUUCGGGCCUUGCGCUAUCAGAUGAGCCUAGGUCGGAUUAGCUAGUUGGUGGGGUAAUGGCUCACCAAGGCGACGAUCCGUAACUGGUCUGAGAGGAUGAUCAGUCACACUGGAACUGAGACACGGUCCAGACUCCUACGGGAGGCAGCAGUGGGGAAUAUUGGGCAAUGGGCGAAAGCCUGAUCCAGCCAUGCCGCGUGUGUGAAGAAGGUCUUCGGAUUGUAAAGCACUUUAAGUUGGGAGGAAGGGCAGUUGCCUAAUACGUAACUGUUUUGACGUUACCGACAGAAUAAGCACCGGCUAACUCUGUGCCAGCAGCCGCGGUAAUACAGAGGGUGCAAGCGUUAAUCGGAAUUACUGGGCGUAAAGCGCGCGUAGGUGGUUUGUUAAGUUGGAUGUGAAAUCCCCGGGCUCAACCUGGGAACUGCAUUCAAAACUGACUGACUAGAGUAUGGUAGAGGGUGGUGGAAUUUCCUGUGUAGCGGUGGAAAUGCGU
Molecule: ribosomal RNA, 664 nt
Filed under: uncultured bacterium
Lineage: Bacteria
Description: bacterial SSU rRNA
Rfam family: Bacterial small subunit ribosomal RNA
Source: RNAcentral